This 434-nucleotide unclassified non-coding RNA is filed under the name Hevea brasiliensis (rubber tree). The record is from RNAcentral. Lineage: Eukaryota; Viridiplantae; Streptophyta; Magnoliopsida; Malpighiales; Euphorbiaceae.
GUUUGCUGAGAAAAUCUUGGAAAUGAGAGACUGAAUUUAAAAGUUGAGGCCUAAGAACUGUGAGUGUGUGCAGCUAAGAAUGAUACAAUGGCGUGGUUACUCUAGAUAAACUAAGUAAACUGGAAUAUAUCAGAAAAGAAGAAAAAAGAUAUGUAAUUAGCUCAGAUGUGCAUAUAACCGUAACCAUUUAUUGGUUGAGGGUAGGAGUGGAAUUGAGGAAUAUUUAAGCAGAAGCGACUGAAAUAUUAGCUCACUUUGUGGGUUUCUAGGAAAUCCUUACCUUGUUAUCAUACUAUUAAUUUGUGUGAAGGAGUGAAGACUCAGAGAGCAGUGACCAUAGAGGAGAAGGGGCUAGGGCACAGAGAGGGGGUCUUGUCGUGUUUUGGCUUUUUGGGGAAAAAGGCUGUGCCAGUAGGCUUUUGGUUGAAACGCAG